CCAGAACCCGCAUAACAGGCCCGAUGAGGAUGCCAGGCUGCACUGACCCCCGAGCUUCAGAGGAGAGGGGCACCAGCUGGGAGCCCUGCACAGCAGCCUCAGAGGGAGAAGAGCUCACAACCUGGGAGAACUCCAGGCCUGGCCCAGUGAAGACGUCCUUAUCUUCAGCAGACGUUGCCCAGUGCAAAGGGAGGGAUUUUCAGGGCGGCAAGCUCAGGUGUUUUACUGUUUCCCAUGUCAAGUCCAGCUCCAGACUGACUUUCUGAGGUCACGGACGGAGCCUCACCCCAUCCAAGGUGAUGUCCUGGACUCCCAGUGUGUUCCCCAGAGGGCAGGGUACCUGGGGCCCAGCCUGGGCGGCAGGAGGGACUCAGCCCCUCGCCCAGGCAGGAAGGCUCCCAAGCAGAGGCCCCUCCCUCGUGCACUCCCCAGCCCCCACCUGCGGCACUGGGACUGGGACUAAUAAAACACCCACCUCGCAGAA
Molecule: long non-coding RNA, 484 nt
Organism: Mandrillus leucophaeus (drill)
Lineage: Eukaryota; Metazoa; Chordata; Mammalia; Primates; Cercopithecidae
Exons: 4
Source: RefSeq, a predicted model, not a curated record